RNAcentral lists this ribosomal RNA (498 nucleotides) under uncultured bacterium. Its description in RNAcentral is "bacterial SSU rRNA". It matches the Rfam family "Bacterial small subunit ribosomal RNA", at positions 899 to 1397 of the family's 1533-position model. The record is from RNAcentral.
ACUCAAAGGAAUAGACGGGGGCCCGCACAAGCGGCGGAGCAUGUGGAUUAAUUCGAUGCAACGCGAAGAACCUUACCUGGGUUUGACAUACACCGGAAAGCUGCAGAGAUGUAGCCCCCCUUGUGGUCGGUGUACAGGUGGUGCAUGGCUGUCGUCAGCUCGUGUCGUGAGAUGUUGGGUUAAGUCCCGCAACGAGCGCAACCCUUGUCUUAUGUUGCCAGCACGUAAUGGUGGGGACUCGUAAGAGACUGCCGGGGUCAACUCGGAGGAAGGUGGGGACGACGUCAAGUCAUCAUGCCCCUUAUGUCCAGGGCUUCACACAUGCUACAAUGGCCAGUACAGAGGGCUGCGAUACCGCGAGGUGGAGCGAAUCCCUUAAAGCUGGUCUCAGUUCGGAUUGGGGUCUGCAACUCGACCCCAUGAAGUCGGAGUCGCUAGUAAUCGCAGAUCAGCAACGCUGCGGUGAAUACGUUCCCGGGCCUUGUACACACCGCCCGU